Molecule: ribosomal RNA, 263 nt
Filed under: Escherichia coli
Lineage: Bacteria; Pseudomonadati; Pseudomonadota; Gammaproteobacteria; Enterobacterales; Enterobacteriaceae
Description: partial 16S ribosomal RNA
Rfam family: Bacterial small subunit ribosomal RNA
Source: RNAcentral
AAAUUGAAGAGUUUGAUCAUGGCUCAGAUUGAACGCUGGCGGCAGGCCUAACACAUGCAAGUCGAACGGUAACAGGAAGAAGCUUGCUUCUUUGCUGACGAGUGGCGGACGGGUGAGUUAUGUCUGGGAAACUGCCUGAUGGAGGGGGAUAACUACUGGAAACGGUAGCUAAUACCGCAUAACGUCGCAAGACCAAAGAGGGGGACCUUCGGGCCUCUUGCCAUCGGAUGUGCCCAGAUGGGAUUAGCUAGUAGGUGGGGUAA